Molecule: microRNA precursor, 80 nt
Organism: Medicago truncatula (barrel medic)
Lineage: Eukaryota; Viridiplantae; Streptophyta; Magnoliopsida; Fabales; Fabaceae
Rfam family: MIR5269 microRNA precursor family
Source: Rfam
UUGGGUGAAAUCAAUGUAGAACCUACGCUUUGAAAAUGAAACUUACAUAAAGUGGUGGGACAUACAUUGAUUUCACCCAA